GGGCCCAUAGCUCAAUUGGCAGAGCUCCCGGCUCAUAACCGGUUGGUUCUAGGUUCGAGUCCUAGUGGGCCCACCA
Molecule: transfer RNA, 76 nt
Filed under: Bacillota bacterium
Lineage: Bacteria; Bacillati; Bacillota
Description: Firmicutes bacterium (anaerobic digester metagenome) tRNA-Ile
Rfam family: tRNA
About the family: Transfer RNA (tRNA) molecules are approximately 80 nucleotides in length. Their secondary structure includes four short double-helical elements and three loops (D, anti-codon, and T loops).
Source: RNAcentral